AAUAUAGUGCCUGAUUAAAAAGGGUAGUUUUGAUAGAACUAAUAAUGUAACUUUAUUUUACCUAUAUUA
Molecule: transfer RNA, 69 nt
Filed under: Metopograpsus quadridentatus
Lineage: Eukaryota; Metazoa; Arthropoda; Malacostraca; Decapoda; Grapsidae
Description: tRNA-Ile
Source: RNAcentral